Molecule: ribosomal RNA, 253 nt
Filed under: uncultured bacterium
Lineage: Bacteria
Description: partial 16S ribosomal RNA
Rfam family: Bacterial small subunit ribosomal RNA
Source: RNAcentral
UACAGAGGUCCCAAGCGUUGUUCGGAUUCACUGGGCGUAAAGGGUGCGUAGGUGGCCAGGUAAGUCUGACGUGAAAUCUCCGAGCCUAACUCGGAAACUGCGUCGGAUACUAUCCGGCUCGAGGGUUGGAGGGGGGACUGGAAUACUUGGUGUAGCAGUGAAAUGCGUAGAUAUCAAGUGGAACACCAGUGGCGAAGGCGAGUCCCUGGACAACUCCUGACACUGAGGCACGAAAGCUAGGGGAGCAAACAGG